AUGUCAUAUUGUACAAGAACAACAAUUCAUGUUGAUUGUAAAUGUGUUUGUUCUGCUACCUGAGCUGGUUGUUUUGACUGUGAUGAUGAUGAUGGUGUGUUGUCAGGUUGUUUUUCUAUUGUGUUUACGUCCACUGUGUCCCUACUACAGUACGUGGCUCCUGUUAUAGCUGCUAGCAUUGAAUAGGGAAGUCGUUCUGCGUCUCUGUAACAAAAGGCCUCCCUAUUCCCUAUUAACUGCACUACUUUGGACCAGGGCCCUAUGGGUCGUGGUCAAACGUAGUGCGCUAUGUAGGGAAUGAGGUGCAUUUUGGGAUGCAUCCUCAAUAUGUCUUGCUCCACAGAGGUCAGAGGUCAAGGGCCUGUUGGGAUGCAUCCUCAAUAUGUCUUGCUCCACAGAGGUCAGAGGUCAAGGGCCUGUUGGGAUGCAUCCUCAAUAUGUCUUGCUCCACAGAGGUCAGAGGUCAAGGGGCCUGUUGGGAUCCAUUCCAAUAGAAGUUGGUCAGUUCAGGAAAUAAACUGAAAUUCUAAUUCAAUAAUUACAAUUUUUUCUCAAUAAACUGAAAAUGAGAAGCUAUUUAUUUGAGAAAUGUUUUUCUGUUUUAAUUAGGAAUCAGAUGGUGUUAGAGUCGGGGGGGAGUUUUCAGAAAGGUAUUUUCUCGGUUGACGCUGUCAUCUAGAUGAUCUGCUGUGUCCAGUUUAAAUGAAUCCAUGUUAGUGUCGACGGACCACCGAGACACCACCUGUGCUAAUUAGAUAUCUAGUAUGCACCUGACACCUGUGCUAAUUAGAUAUCUAGCAUGCGCCUGACACCUGUGCUAAUUAGAUAUCUAGCAUGCACCUGACACCUGUGCUAAUUAGAUAUCUAGCAUGCACCUGACACCUGUGCUAAUUAGAUAUCUAUCAUGCACCUGACACCUGUGCUAGUUAGAUAUCUAGCAUGCACCUGACACCUGUGCUAAUUAGAUAUCUAGUAUGCACCUGACACCUGUGCUAAUUAGAUAUCUAGCAUGCGCCUGACACCUGUGCUAAUUAGAUAUCUAUCAUGCACCUGACACCUGUGCUAAUUAGAUAUCUAGCAUGCACCUGACACCUGUGUGUAAUGGAAGCAGACCGCCAGAAAACGUGUCGUCACUGAAAUAUUCUGUCGGCUGCAACUGUGAUAUAGCUGGUCAAAACGGUGUACAGCAGCAGUGUAAAAAAUGCAUUCUCAUACUUGAGUCAAAGUAAAGAUACUUUAAUAGAAAAUGACUCAAGUGAAAGUGAGUCACCCAGUAAAAUACUACUACAUGAGAAGGUCACAAAGCUCCUCUGCUCUCCAGGAACUGGACCUCUCUCCUGCUUCAGCAACACCUGGACGCUCUAUUAAUUUCAAACAAAAGUUUGUUCUUUGAGUUAAAAGUCUUUGGUUGUAAAUAUACAUCAGUAUAAAAAGUCAACAUAAUUGCUAAACUAUACUUACAGAUCAAAAGGUAAAAGUAUAAAUGACCGUGUUCUCUUGACCGUGUUCUCUUGACCGUGUUCUCUUGACCGUGUUCUCUUGACCGUGUUCUCUUGACCGUGUUCUCUUGAUAAGUGUAUAAAUUAGACCAUUUUCCUGUCCUGCUAAGCAUUCAAAAUGUACUUUUUGGGUGUCAGGGAAAAUGUAUGGAGUAAAAAGUACAUUAUUUUCAGGAAUGUAGUGAAGUAAAAAUAUAAAUAAAGUACAGAUACCCCAAAAACGUUUCACUGAAGGACUUCACACCACUUCAGUAAAUGUGUAUUUUACAUUUGUGAAAUUAUUUCGAUGUGAUAUGAAAGUGACAAGGGUUUUAUGUUUCUAGAAAUGUAUCGCAGUUGAGAAUCUGAUUCAUGUUUAGAUGGAGUGUCUGUUUUGGCUUCCAGUCUCCCUAUGAAAAUAACAGAAGGGCCUUGGACCUUAGAGUAACAUUAGGCCCCUUUAGAGGUCAUCUUGGGCCAGAUCUGGCCCUGUUGUAAAUCUGGCACCACCAUCCUCCACAUCUCAACCCUGGAAACAGAAACGAGGGGAGAGUCUGGACACCGAGGCCCUCCGUGAGACCGUUUGAACUACAUGAGAAGGUCACAAAGCUCCUCUGCUCUCCAGGAGCUGGACCUCUCUCCUGCUUCAGCAACACCUGGACGCUCUAUUCAUUUUAAACAAAAGUUUGUCCUUCUUCCUGUCUGUUUUGGUUGGUUUGAAGUGAGACUUCUUUGAAACAGACUGAUGAUGAUAACCAGUUUUGUCCUUUUCUUUCUGUACAACGUUAUGGAUCUGCUGUUAUAUUUUUUGUUCAGGUUAUGCCACGAUGUAAUAUUGAGAUUUUACAUUGUGCUUUUUUUUUGCUGUACAGAUGAACAUUUUGUCAAUUUAAUAAAAUUGUCUGCAUAUUUUUACCUCAUGGUGUCCAUGUUGGGUAUUUCAGAAUGACUGUUGGUGUCAUGCGAUAGGAAAGCAAUGUAUUUCAGAAUGACUGUUGGUGUCAUGCGAUAGGAAAGCAAUGUAUUUCAGAAUGACUGUUGGUGUCAUGCGAUAGGAAAGCAAUGUAUUUCAGAAUGACUGUUGGUGUCAUGCCAUAGGAAAGCAAUGUAUUUCAGAAUGACUGUUGGUGUCAUGCGAUAGGAAAGCAAUGUAUUUCAGAAUGACUGUUGGUGUCAUGCGAUAGGAAAGCAAUGUAUUUCAGAAUGACUGUUGGUGUCAUGCGAUAGGAAAGCAAUGUAUUUCAGAAUGACUGUUGGUGUCAUGCGAUAGGAAAGCAAUGUAUUUCUAACAGAUGUUUGUAUUGAAGACAACUGGAUAAGAGCAGUCUCUCCUUUCCUCAUAAAUGGAACAAUAUUAAUGUAUCGAAACAAUGACAUAUGUGGAUAUUUUUUGACAUUUUACUAGUACAGUAAUGACCAAUGACGUUUCGUGAAGAUCCUGUUCACGCAGCGCUCGGCGAUGGGAUCGUAAACAUUACCUCCGUACCUCCUUCAAUAUAAAAGUCCGGCAAUGAAGAUGGUGAAAAAUAAUAAAAAGGUCGAUAUGAGUUACUGUUUAUGGGGAAAUGUUAGCAAAUUUUGAAUUUUGUUUAACAAUAUAAAAAAAAGAUGGCAUUUAAGGCAAAAAUUAAUAUAGCAU
This is a long non-coding RNA of Oncorhynchus mykiss (rainbow trout), 3117 nucleotides long. The record is from Ensembl. NCBI's taxonomy places the organism in Eukaryota, Metazoa, Chordata, Actinopteri, Salmoniformes, Salmonidae.